RNAcentral lists this ribosomal RNA (443 nucleotides) under uncultured bacterium. Its description in RNAcentral is "partial 16S ribosomal RNA". It matches the Rfam family "Bacterial small subunit ribosomal RNA", at positions 338 to 795 of the family's 1533-position model. The record is from RNAcentral.
CCUACGGGAGGCAGCAGUGGGGAAUAUUGGGCAAUGGGCGCAAGCCUGACCCAGCAACGCCGCGUGAAGGAAGAAGGCUUUCGGGUUGUAAACUUCUUUUCUCAGGGACGAAGCAAGUGACGGUACCUGAGUAAUAAGCCACCGCUAACUACGUGCCAGCACCCGCGGUAAUACGUAGGCGGCAAGCGUUAUCCGGAUUUACUGGGUGUAAAGGGCGUGUAGGCGGGACUGCAAGUCAGAUGUGAAAACCACGGGCUCAACCUGUGGACUGCAUUUGAAACUGUAGUUCUUGAGUACUGGAGAGGCAGGCGGAAUUCGUGGUGUAGCGGUGAAAUGCGUAGAUAUUAGGAGGAACACCAGUGGCGAAGGCGGCCUGCGGGACAGCAACUGACGCUGAGGCGCGAAAGCGUGGGUAGCAAACAGGAUUAGAUACCCGUGUAGUC